AGUGGGGAAUUUUGGACAAUGGGCGAAAGCCUGAUCCAGCAAUGCCGCGUGAGUGAAGAAGGCCUUCGGGUUGUAAAGCUCUUUUGUCAGGGAAGAAACGGUGGGGGCUAAUAUCCCUCGCUAAUGACGGUACCUGAAGAAUAAGCACCGGCUAACUACGUGCCAGCAGCCGCGGUAAUACGUAGGGUGCAAGCGUUAAUCGGAAUUACUGGGCGUAAAGCGUGCGCAGGCGGUUUUGUAAGUCUGACGUGAAAUCCCCGGGCUCAACCUGGGAACUGCGUUGGAGACUGCAAGGCUAGAAUCUGGCAGAGGGGGGUAGAAUUCCACGUGUAGCAGUGAAAUGCGUAGAGAUGUGGAGGAACACCGAUGGCGAAGGCAGCCCCCUGGGUCAAGAUUGACGCUCAUGCACGAAAGCGUGGGGAGCAAA
Molecule: ribosomal RNA, 427 nt
Filed under: Massilia aurea
Lineage: Bacteria; Pseudomonadati; Pseudomonadota; Betaproteobacteria; Burkholderiales; Oxalobacteraceae
Description: bacterial SSU rRNA
Rfam family: Bacterial small subunit ribosomal RNA
Source: RNAcentral